CACAGAUAUGUGAUAUUUGGAAGGUCUCUAAGUUGCGUCAAAAUUUUUUGGGGAUUGUUUAGAUCUUAGGACAUGGGUUUUUUAUUUUUUAUUUUCAUGGAGCUUGGUUGUUUAACAAUGGAGGUUGGGCUCGCUUGGCCUAGUCCAAGGACCUUAUGGGUGUUUAUCAUUUACUCUAUUUCUUAUAUCAAAUAUGCUAAUCUUUUUAUACACACUGAUUUUUUUUAUAGAGUCAUUGGGUUUUGUAGCAAUGCCUGCUAGAAACUCUCCAUCCACUACCAUUGCAAGAAGAUAUCCAUCCUAAAUGAGACAGUGGGAAAUUUAUGCAAGGAUAAUUGGCCUUCUGUGAUGUUUGCAAUGGCAGGAGGGGUGGUACUUAGCCUUGGAAAUCUCUCAACUCAGUAUGCUUGGGCUUUUGUUGGCUUAUCAGUCAUAGAA
This is a long non-coding RNA of Humulus lupulus (European hop), 438 nucleotides long. RefSeq lists it as uncharacterized. Lineage: Eukaryota; Viridiplantae; Streptophyta; Magnoliopsida; Rosales; Cannabaceae. The record is from RefSeq and is a predicted model, not a curated record. The transcript has 2 exons.